This is a long non-coding RNA of Bos taurus (domestic cattle), 2207 nucleotides long. The record is from Ensembl. Lineage: Eukaryota; Metazoa; Chordata; Mammalia; Artiodactyla; Bovidae.
CCCUAGUUGAUUGUGAUUGGUUGUCCUUAGGUUUUGAUUUCGUAAGCUGUGAGGCAUUUACAGGCUUAGAUCUUGGUUUGCUUCCGGAAGUGGGAGCUUGCUCUAUACAAUGGGUCUGAAGCCUAAAAAAGUAGGGAGAUACCUCAGGGUUCUCUCCUGUCCUGGGCUACAAAACAUUCACCUUAACAGACCGAGCUGUUUAAGCCUGCGCUGUGAAAACAUGACUUUCUCAAAUCCCAAACGCAAGCACUCGGCGGCAGGUGUGCCAUCAACACAAGCCCUGAGGGAAGGACAAAACCCUGGGGCGGUCACAGAAAGUACCAGCAAAAACAGCUGCUGUAUCAUCAGUCCUGCGUCAGUCAAUUGAAGGGCUGUUGGUGGACAGUGGGGAUAAAGAGGAUCUGUAAAAAUUACCUGAAAAAGGCCUUUGGACUCAGACUGGAAAUUUAUACCACCGGCUUUCCUGGGUCUCCAGCUUGCAGAUGGCAUAUUGUGGAACUUCUCUGCCUUCCUAAUCACGUACCUGGAAUGGACAAGAACUCAACAAUUUUUUGAGCAAAUUAUACUACCAAGGAACUUGCAAGUCUAGUGUGUAAAAGUUUGAUAAGAAACCAUCUCCUGAGAUUCUAACCCUGUAUCUGCAGAGAACUGAGAAACUUGGGCUGCAUUCAAUUUCAACCCUGAAACUCCUUGUCUAUCAUUACAUCUAAAGUGAAAAGAGAAUAUGCUUUCCAGUGUGCACUGUAGAAGUGUCCCAGGGAUGAUGGAUAAAGAAGAAUUUCCUAAAGGACAAAGCCAGUGGACCACAAGGACAGUGGAUUGGGGGUUUCCAAGAGGGCUGAGCCGGGAAUUCAUCAAGGAGCCCACUCCAGUGCCAGCGAGGGGAGUCUGCAAUUGCUGCCCAGCAAGAUUUCCACAUUGCUAGAGACCAGCUUCUCUGUGUCAUUUAUAUCCUUCUCUUUUCCAAGUAGGAAUUUUAUUACACUUGUCCUGGUUCUGUUGCACUACUGUAUCUUGUGUUUUCGUGGGAACGUGGGGGCUGUGGGAAGUGGCAGGGAAAUUAUCUAUAGUUAGUCCAUCAUAGAACCAGAUGACGCUUCCUCAGGACUCAUGGAAAGAAUUUCACAUCACGUAGGAAUUCUAGGUUUUGAGCUGAACUGGGUUGGACUCUACAUUGUUCACCUUUGGAAAAGAGGUGUGUCAACAUGGGGUAAAAGAAGCAAAAAAAAAGUUGAGUUACACCCAAAUGGGUUAUGGCAAAAGCUGCCAAGUGUCCCUAGUAUCACUACCUCUUAAUUCCUUCUAAUCCUAGAAGCCACCAGAAUUUUAGCAAAUAUAUACAUGGUCCAAGUAGAAAUGAAAUUUCUAAAAAAAAAAAAAGAAAUUUCUCAGCCUCACUUGGAGUUGACUGUGGCCAUGUGACUCAAUGCUGACAUUUACCUAAUAAGACGUUUGCCUAAGAAGUCAUCUUAUGGGCUUCCCUGUGGUGUAGUGGUUAAGAAUCUGCCUGCCAAUGCAGGGGACACAGUUUGGAUCCCUGGUCUGGGAGGAGCCACAUGCUACAGAGCAGCUAAACCCACGCACCACAACUACUGAGCCUGUGCUCUGGAGCCCAAGUGCCUAGAGCCUGUGCUCCACGACAAGAGAAGCCACCGCAUUUGCAACAAAGUGUAGCCCCCACUCACUGCAACUAGAGAAAACCUUCACAAAGCUACAAAGAUCCAGUGUAGCCAAAAAGAAAUUAAAAAAAUUUUUUUUUCUUUCUAAAUUAGUCUUGCUACAGCAGCUUGACCCGAACAUUAAUAAUGAUAGCACUUCCCCUGCACUCAACAAGAAUGCUAUAAGAAGCCAUCUAGCUACUUCUAGGAAUAAUAAUGGAAUACAAAAUAAAACCAUAUAUAUUUAUAAGUAUUAAUAUCUUAUGUUGUUCAGUUGCUCAGUCGUGUCCUACUCUUCGUGACCCCAUGGACUGCAGCACGCCAGGCUUCCCUGUCCUUCACCAUCUCCCAGAGCUUGCUCAAACUCAUGUCCAUUGAGUCGGUGAUGCCAUCCAACCAUCUCAUCCUCUAUUGCCCCCUUCUCCUCCUGCAAGCUUAAUUGUAUAUUUCAAGGCUACUGAGAAGAAAAUGUCUAAAGAAAACUUCUUCAUGAAAUUAGUAAGGAACAAGUUUACUGGUUCAAUGUAAGUUGUAUUUAAGUCUCUGUAG